UGCAAGUCGAACGAACCUUCGGGUUAGUGGCGGACGGGUGAGUAACGCGUGAGAAUCUGCCCUCAGGAGGGGGAUAACGGUUGGAAACGACCGCUAAUACCCCAUAUGCCGCGAGGUGAAAUGAAUUUCGCCUGAGGAUGAGCUCGCGUCUGAUUAGCUAGUUGGUGGGGUAAGAGCCUACCAAGGCUUCGAUCAGUAGCUGGUCUGAGAGGAUGAUCAGCCACACUGGGACUGAGACACGGCCCAGACUCCUACGGGAGGCAGCAGUGGGGAAUUUUCCGCAAUGGGCGAAAGCCUGACGGAGCAACGCCGCGUGAGGGAUGAAGGCCUCUGGGCUGUAAACCUCUUUUAUCAAGGAAGAAGAUCUGACGGUACUUGAUGAAUAAGCCACGGCUAAUUCCGUGCCAGCAGCCGCGGUAAUACGGGAGUGGCAAGCGUUAUCCGGAAUUAUUGGGCGUAAAGCGUCCGCAGGCGGUCUUACAAGUCUGUCGUUAAAGCGUGGAGCUUAACUCCAUUUCGGCGAUGGAAACUGUAAGACUAGAGUGUGGUAGGGGCAGAGGGAAUUCCCGGUGUAGCGGUGAAAUGCGUAGAUAUCGGGAAGAACACCAGUGGCGAAGGCGCUCUGCUGGGCCAUAACUGACGCUCAUGGACGAAAGCUAGGGGAGCGAAAGGGAUUAGAUACCCCUGUAGUCCUAGCCGUAAACGAUGAACACUAGGUGUCGGGGGAAUCGACCCCCUCGGUGUCGUAGCCAACGCGUUAAGUGUUCCGCCUGGGGAGUACGCACGCAAGUGUGAAACUCAAAGGAAUUGACGGGGGCCCGCACAAGCGGUGGAGUAUGUGGUUUAAUUCGAUGCAACGCGAAGAACCUUACCAGGGUUUGACAUCCUGCGAAUCCCUUGGAAACUUGGGAGUGCCUUCGGGAGCGCAGUGACAGGUGGUGCAUGGCUGUCGUCAGCUCGUGUCGUGAGAUGUUGGGUUAAGUCCCGCAACGAGCGCAACCCACGUCUUUAGUUGCCAGCAUUUAGUUGGGCACUCUAGAGAGACCGCCGGUGAUAAACCGGAGGAAGGUGUGGAUGACGUCAAGUCAUCAUGCCCCUUACAUCCUGGGCUACACACGUACUACAAUGCUACGGACAAAGGGCAGCAAACUCGCGAGAGCUAGCCAAUCCCAUAAACCGUGGCUCAGUUCAGAUCGUAGGCUGCAACUCGCCUACGUGAAGGAGGAAUCGCUAGUAAUCGCAGGUCAGCAUACUGCGGUGAAUACGUUUCCCCGGGCCUUGUACACACCGCCCGUCACACCCAUGGAAGUUGGUCCACGCCCGAAGUCGUUACUCCAACCCUUGUGGAGGAGGAUGCCGAAGGUGGGGCUGAUGACUGGGGUGAAGUCGUAACAAGGUAGCCGUACCGGAAGGUGCGGCUGGAUCACCUCCU
RNAcentral lists this ribosomal RNA (1432 nucleotides) under Synechococcus sp. MA0607E. RNAcentral describes it as "16S ribosomal RNA". It matches the Rfam family "Bacterial small subunit ribosomal RNA". The record is from RNAcentral. Lineage: Bacteria; Bacillati; Cyanobacteriota; Cyanophyceae; Synechococcales; Synechococcaceae.